GGCUGACCCUGUGAACAGAUCCAGCCUCUGUUGGACCAGCUCUGAUGUCGGUUCAGGCCUGAGCCGGUUGUCAACUCGCUCUAAAGAGCUUCUGUAUCGCGGUGGCACGGACGGAACACAACAGAGAUUAAAUGAACCCUGUGCAAAGACGGGAGGAGGUGUGGUGUUACCGUUACCGUAACAUAUCUCUACCGUAAGACACGCCCACCUCCUCACCUGGUCAACACUCUCCUACCUCCUACCUCCUCACCUGGUCAACACUCUCCUACCUCCUACCUCCUCACCUGGUCAACACUCUCCUACCUCCUACCUCCUCACCUGGUCAACACUCAACUACCUCCUACCUCCUCACCUGGUCAACACUCUCCUACCUCCUACCUCCUCACCUGGUCAACACUCAACUACCUCCUAACCUGGUCAACACUCUCCUACCUCCUACCUUCUCACCUGGUCAACACUCUCCUACCUCCUCACCUGGUCAACACUCUCCUACCUCCUUACCUGGUCAACACUCUCCUACCUCCUCACCUGGUCAACACUCUCCUACCUCCUCACCUGGUCAACACUCUCCUACCUCCUACCUCCUCAGCUGGACAACAUGAACCGCAGAGCGACUGAGAGUGCAUGAGUCAGAGGAGGAAGUGAGAGAGCUGCGAGGAGCAGGGGAACAAAGUCAAUAGUUCCCUGUUCCAGUAGCCGCGGCUGCCAACUCCUUCUCUGGGGCGGCUCGGCGCAUUCUCCCUCCCUCCCUCCCUCUCCUUCGGCAUUCACCUUCAACUCAAGAUCAAAAACCCCUCCCGGAACCUAGACAAGGAACCAAGAGGAGGAAACAAGAGGAGGAACUAUUGUUCUGUCCUCAAAAGUACCUGCUCACAUGAAGGAGUUACAAAACAGACUUAUCUGCCUUCAUCUAUGAGAUCUUACGAUACAAUACCAGAAUAGCACAAGUACUUGUCCAGCUGUCAACCGAGUCCCUCCCUCUCUCCCUAUAGUCCAAACGGAUUACAGAUUACCAUGUCUGAACAUUGUAUUCCUUUGAGCCAAAAAACAUGAAUAUUAAAUACAUAAUUGUAAUUCACAGCUAGAAAAACGAUAGGUAUCCACAGAUACACUGUGAAUACUUAAUUAUACAUAAAUAUGUAUUAUAAAUACAAUAAUAUGUGAAUCGGAAAUAUAUAUAACACUUUAAUCUUACUUUAUUGUUAUAUCUUAUUACAAAGAGGGAGAUAUAGUGAAGCCAGGGUGUUUGCUAACCCCUUGGCGCUGUGCUGCCCCUCGCUGCGAGACCCUCCCGUCCAGCGCAGCGCUACACAGAUACGAGUUCAACCGUUACACAAUGUAUGAAUAUUAGCCAACGUUUAAUUAUUACGCAAAAUCUAAAUAUUGCCUGAAACCUCGAAACAGUCUCAUGUGGAAACUCCUCGAAACACACGAGUCUCUGUAGGAUCCGUGGGACAGGGGAUCUAGGACAGAGGAGGUAAGGACUAGGAGGGAGGAGACAAGGAGAGAGGAGGUAGGACUAGGAGAGAGGUAAGGAAUAGGAAAGAAGAGAUAAGGGAGAGGAGGUAAGGAGAGAGGAGAUAAGGAGAGAGGAGUUAAGGAGAGAGGAGGUAAGGACUAGGAGAGAGGAGGUAAGGACUAGGAGCGAGGAGAUAAGGGCCCACAACCCACCAGAGCCACCUGGGAGUGGAGGACAGCUAGGAGGUGGGAGUUAGGAGCUAGGAUGUAGGAGGCAGAGAUGGUAGGAAGGUAGCAACAAUGAAGUAGGAACAAGGAGGUAGGAUCUAAUAGUUGGGAGGUAUGCUAUGAGUUAGGAGGUAGGAUAUAUAGGACAUAGGAGUUAGGAAAUAGGAGCUAGGCCUAAGGAGCUAAGGGUAAUGACUUACGAGCGAAGAGUUAGCAAGCAGGGGCUAAGGGUAAGGAGUUAGGAUCUGUGAGCUACGUAGGUAAGAACCGGGAUUUGUGUUCUAGGAGGCGUGGGAGAGAUGACAAGCAGACGAGUCAGCGAGUUCUCAGAUCUCAAUUGCUUCCUCAUACCAGCUCUCAGACACCUGCCGAACACUGGCCCCGCGGGCAUCAGGCCCGCGGCCAAACUCUUCCCUUCCCCGAAAUCCUCUGAAUUUCAAUAAAUGCUUCGGGCGCGACGCGUCCCAGCAAGCCCCUCUUCACUAGAGAGGAGGCUGCAGGACGCCAGUACACGGUAUCAGCGGCAGCAUGUAGGCCUACUUCACUUACUACUUUUCGUUACUUGGAGCGAUCAACUGUCUCCCUUAAAAGUUUUUGAUUUAUUUGUUGUAAAAAAUAUUUUUAUUAAAUAUGUCUACAUACUUCAUCUCCUUCAGUGGUAUUCAUUUUAAUAGUAUAUAUUUAUUGAACGAUCGAUUCUGAUUGGUCAAUUAAGUCACUCCAGACUCUAUUCCUGUAGAGCCGACUGUUCCUAUAUGGAUGCAGUUCUUUGAAUAAAUAGACUACAUAGUCACGAUUAAAUGACUUACUCAGUCAUGUCACAGUAGCAACCAACCAAUUCAAUCAGAAGUUCAAUGGAAAAUGAUCCGUGCGUCUGAUGAGGAACCGUCUGAACAACACGAGGCGGGCCGCGGGCGUCAUCAGCUGAUAGUCCCGCUCCGGGUUGACUGACAGGUGCCUUUGUGUGGGGAGAAAUCAGCGGAACAGGUUCCGGCUGACGGGAGGAGGAAGUACAGUGAACGCAGGUGAGGGCAGUGAUCAAUUGACGUCAUUACGAGACAGAGAUUCUCAUAUCGUAAAAGCAGAUCGGAUCAGUUCAGAUUAGAUUGUACGCCAGGGUUACAACAAAGUAAGCAACUCCUGGACGGAAGUAGGAAUCCUUUUGGGACUUCAUAUUUAUGGACUUGAUAUUAUGCAUUGACACAAGGCAUGGAGUUAAAUUCUCUUCACUUCAGGUCCAUAACUUACCCUCUCAGUAGGCCUGUAUACCAGUAGGCCUACUAUCAUUAAACCAGUAACAUAAACCAGCAAUAACUAUAGACCAGUACUAUUUAUAGGCCAGUAACAUAGACCAGUUCUAUCUGAAGACCAGUAACAGAGACCAGUAUAUCUAUUUACCAGUUCUAGAUUCCAGCAUAAUAAAUAUAAUU
RNAcentral lists this long non-coding RNA (3116 nucleotides) under Gadus morhua (Atlantic cod). RNAcentral's name for it is "lncRNA (ENSGMOG00000023008.1)". Lineage: Eukaryota; Metazoa; Chordata; Actinopteri; Gadiformes; Gadidae. The record is from RNAcentral.